This 320-nucleotide unclassified non-coding RNA is filed under the name Hevea brasiliensis (rubber tree). Lineage: Eukaryota; Viridiplantae; Streptophyta; Magnoliopsida; Malpighiales; Euphorbiaceae. The record is from RNAcentral.
UAUUAAAUGAACUUAAAAUUCGAGUUCGAGCUUAACUCGUUUAGAAAAUGAGCUUUUGUUGAGCCGGGUUUCGAGUAGCUUACGAGCGGCUUGGUUCAUUUAUAUCCCUAAUAACAGCCUUUACCCAUGCAAACCAAGAUAUGCCUUUAAAUAAUGGCCUAACAGGUAAGGGGCCUUAAAAACCUGUAAAUAACGGCCGCUUUUAAAACCUUGUUACUGAUGAUAGCUUUAUUAAUACCAAUAUGAGUUUAUUUUUUGUGCUUUCUUCUAUUUAGUGGAUGUCAGUUCUUCUGAGAAUGCUUUAUUUUCAGUAUAAAUGG